This 357-nucleotide ribosomal RNA is filed under the name Triticum aestivum (bread wheat). Its description in RNAcentral is "partial small subunit ribosomal RNA". The record is from RNAcentral. Lineage: Eukaryota; Viridiplantae; Streptophyta; Magnoliopsida; Poales; Poaceae.
AUGCCUUUUGGGUUAACUAAUGCACCUGGUACUUUCAUGAGACUAAUGAACGAAGUUUUACGUGCUUUCAUUGGACGAUUUGUGGUAGUCUAUUUUGAUGAUAUACUGAUUUAUAGCAAAUCUUUGGAAGAACAUUUGGAACAUUUACGUGCUGUUUUUAUUGCUCUACGUGAUGCACGUUUGUUUGGUAACCUUGGGAAGUGCACCUUUUGCACCGACCGAGUAUCUUUUCUUGGCUAUGUUGUUACUCCACAGGGAAUUGAGGUUGAUAAAGCCAAGAUUGAAGCUAUUGAGAGUUGGCCGCAGCCCAAAACGGUCACACAAGUGCGGAGUUUUUUUGGACUCGCUGGUUUCUAU